AUAUACACAUCCCAUUAUUAAUUGUUUCUCCACGUAUAUAUACACUUCAAACACAUUGCAGUACGUACGAAAAAACUCAUAAUAUUCUGAACUUCUUCUUCAACGUCAUUUCUCUCUUCUUGUACUGGAAACCAUGGAAGGCGAAAAUAUGAGAGCAUUCGACAUGGGCGCACUAAGAACAGGUCUCCCACAAAACAGGAGAGGGUUGUCAAGGUACUACUCAGGGAAAUCAAGAUCAUUUACGUGCAUGGCCGAUGUACGAAGCGUAGAAGAUCUGAAGAAACCGGAAAAUCCCGAUGCGAAAAAGAGGAAGAAACAUUCGGAGAGGAAGAACUUUCCUGUUCCAGCCUACCCUCCUUAUCCAUGUCGAAGAGUUUCUAGCACCACCCAAUGUACUGCACCCUGCGUUGGCGUGUGAAUAAUAUAAAUCAACUGGAGACGAACAUGGAAAAGCACUUAACAUUCUUUUCUGCAAUAAUUUGCUGCUUUCCAAAAUCUUAAGAGGCGCCUUUUUCGAAUCCCGGUCUAAGGAUUCGUGUGGUUUUUGGAGGAUCUAGCUACUGGAGAACCAGGAAUGAAGAGCUAGCUUUCCCUUUCUCCCAUAUUGUGUAUAACUUUAAACAUAUACAUGUAUUAGAUCCUAUAUUUCUUACUCAAUUUCGGUUUUUGUUUUUGAUACAGAAAACAGACUUGUGUAAUUGUAUCUGUACUAAAAUUUGGUUUCGCGUAAUAUACUUGUGAUGAAA
This is a long non-coding RNA of Malus domestica (apple), 746 nucleotides long. RefSeq lists it as uncharacterized. NCBI's taxonomy places the organism in Eukaryota, Viridiplantae, Streptophyta, Magnoliopsida, Rosales, Rosaceae. The record is from RefSeq and is a predicted model, not a curated record.